AUUUCUCUUGUGCACUUUCUGGUGAUACAGUUAUCUAAAAAUAUAGAAAUAUGGUCACGCUUAAAGAAAUAUCAUUGAGAAUAAAAUCCGUAAAAAACAUCCAAAAAAUAACCAAAUCAAUGAAGAUGGUUGCCUCCUCAAAACUCGCCCAAGCCAAAAGAGGUCUUCUUCCAGCAAGAGUUUUAAACGAGUCAGUUGACGAGUUCAACCAAGAAUUAACCUCUUCUAAAGAAACUCAGGAAAAAAUCACCCCCAAAUUUUUUGUUGUUAUGACAUCAGACCGGGGUCUUUGUGGGAGUGUCCACUCCUUGCUUAUAAAAUCCGUUUAUAACCAACUCGCUCAAUAUCCUGCCGAAUCUGUUAAACUUUUUUUGAUCGGAAAUAAAGCGCGACUAGCAAU
Molecule: long non-coding RNA, 400 nt
Organism: Octopus sinensis (East Asian common octopus)
Lineage: Eukaryota; Metazoa; Mollusca; Cephalopoda; Octopoda; Octopodidae
Exons: 3
Source: RefSeq, a predicted model, not a curated record